Molecule: long non-coding RNA, 727 nt
Organism: Carassius auratus (goldfish)
Lineage: Eukaryota; Metazoa; Chordata; Actinopteri; Cypriniformes; Cyprinidae
Exons: 3
Source: RefSeq, a predicted model, not a curated record
CACGGGUGCCGUCAGCACUGUAAUGUGUCAUGUGCACCUGCAAGCUCUGUGAUGCUUUUGACAAUUAGCCUAUUGAUGUGCAAUAGUAUCUUGUUACGUACAAGCUUCGUAAUACGUCUCUACCUAAAAUCUGAUUAGCCUGAGGAUAAAUUGCGUUAAUUUCUUCGCUUAUUCGCGGAUAGAACGAAACCGACGUGCUUUCUUCUUUAGUCUUCCCAUAUGCCAAUUCAAACAGUGAAAGAAUUCAGAUGGGCGUAACUCUAAAUGGAUCAUGCACACAGACUUUGGAACAAUAACUCAUCAAUUCACGACGAGACGCCCUUUAAGCGCGAGCUGCUUGAGUUUCUGCACACGUCCACGCAUGGGGACCAACGACAGACUCGAUCAUAGUAGUCUUCGGAAUAGUAGCACUGGAUGCUUGGCAGGAAUCUGGAGAACAAGUUGUGCACUUGAGCGUCAAAAGCCAAUGGCUGUUUGUAACUAAUUGACACCGGUACUUUUCGUGACGCGAUUCUCGGGAAUAGUUCGUGGUUUGAACAAAUGCAUUGCUACAAAGCCCUCUGCCUUUCCAAGUUUUUGACAUUUGCUUGUGGAUUAGAUACUAUGGUGUUAUGGAUCACCUCAAGUUUGGCACUCAGAGAUGAGAGGUCAUCAUUGUCCACUGAGAGGAAAAGGAGACCUUGGAAAUCAGUGAUAAAACACGGAAAUGAACUGACCUCGGAUCAGG